Benincasa hispida (wax gourd) is the source of this 405-nucleotide non-coding RNA. NCBI's taxonomy places the organism in Eukaryota, Viridiplantae, Streptophyta, Magnoliopsida, Cucurbitales, Cucurbitaceae. The record is from RefSeq and is a predicted model, not a curated record.
ACAUGCCAAAGCCAAGGACGAGGGUCAAACUGGGGAAACUAGGAACAGAGUCUUUGUGGCGAUAUAUCAAGCACUUCAAUCUAGUGAAUAACAUUUCAAAUGCUUCAAGGGACCAAAUCCUUCAAGUUGUGCAACAGCAUUUUGCAUUACAGACAAGUUUGAACGAGGCAUCGGUGAUGACUGAAUUCAUUCGAGCUGUUAAGAGACGAAGGGAGUGAGGGAAUGAGAGUAAUGAUAUUGAAAAGUGAUUCACGUAAAUGUAUGUUUGUAUAGUGAUUAAAGACUAGUGAGUAUGCCUGUUAACCAUAGUCUAUAACUAUGUAAACUUCUAACUAUCUAACAUUCUGUUGACAACUUUCUAGACCCAUACUAUAUAUUUAGCAUCUCUCCCAAGUCCUGAUGAAA